Molecule: ribosomal RNA, 428 nt
Filed under: uncultured prokaryote
Description: bacterial SSU rRNA
Rfam family: Bacterial small subunit ribosomal RNA
Source: RNAcentral
UGAGGAAUAUUGCGCAAUGGGGGCAACCCUGACGCAGCGACGCCGCGUGAGUGAGGAAGGCCUUCGGGUCGUAAAGCUCUGUCAAGAGGAAAGAAGUGCAUAACGGUUAAUACCCGUUGUGUUUGACGGUACCUCUAAAGGAAGCACCGGCUAACUCCGUGCCAGCAGCCGCGGUAAUACGGAGGGUGCAAGCGUUGUUCGGAAUUGCUGGGCGUAAAGGGCGCGUAGGCGGCUUGGUAAGUCAGAGGUGAAAGCCCAUGGCUUAACUGUGGAAGUGCAUUUGAUACUGCCAAGCUUGAGUACCAGAGGGGAAAGUGGAAUUCCCGGUGUAGAGGUGAAAUGCGUAGAUAUCGGGAGGAAUACCGGUGGCGAAGGCGACUUUCUGGCUGAGUACUGACGCUGAGGCGCGAAAGCGUGGGGAGCAAACA